Long non-coding RNA from Pistacia vera, 485 nucleotides. RefSeq lists it as uncharacterized. The transcript is spliced from 3 exons. The record is from RefSeq and is a predicted model, not a curated record. NCBI's taxonomy places the organism in Eukaryota, Viridiplantae, Streptophyta, Magnoliopsida, Sapindales, Anacardiaceae.
AAGGAAUUAGACCUUAUCUGAAUGAAACAGAGAGGGAAAAGGGCAAAAUCAGCUCUGGUGGAGCCAAAAUCUAAGCUGCUUUUUAUCAUACGCAUACAAGGGCAAAAUGACAUGCACCCAAAAACUAAGAAGAUCCUGCACAAACUAAGAUUGACGAAAAUCUUUAGUGAUGUCUUUGCCAUGGCUAGUGAAGGCAUAUAAGAAUAGCUGCAAAAGGUGGAGCCAUAUGUCACUUAUGGGUUUUGGAUGCUGCCAAGUCUCUUCCUCCAAGGGAGCUGCUGCAUUCUUGCUUACUUAUUCAUGUGUGCUGGGCAAGUAUUACUAUUUGGGCUGUAGAUAUUUCCAUGUUGAAACCUUGGAGGCUUGGAAGAAGACUUUUCUCGCCAUUGACCAGAACCUUUUCUGGAGCUUUUUUCGCUGGGGAAUUAUUUACAGAUUGCAUGUUGCUGCUCCCUCCUUUUCUUCUUGUUUUGGUUGCGUAUAUA